Molecule: ribosomal RNA, 496 nt
Filed under: uncultured bacterium
Lineage: Bacteria
Description: partial 16S ribosomal RNA
Rfam family: Bacterial small subunit ribosomal RNA
Source: RNAcentral
GAUGAACGCUGGCGGCGUGCCUAAUACAUGCAAGUCGAGCGAACAGAUGAGGAGCUUGCUCCUCUGACGUUAGCGGCGGACGGGUGAGUAACACGUGGAUAACCUACCUAUAAGACUGGGAUAACUUCGGGAAACCGGAGCUAAUACCGGAUAAUAUAUUGAACCGCAUGGUUCAAUAGUGAAAGACGGUUUUGCUGUCACUUAUAGAUGGAUCCGCGCCGCAUUAGCUAGUUGGUGAGGUAACGGCUUACCAAGGCAACGAUGCGUAGCCGACCUGAGAGGGUGAUCGGCCACACUGGAACUGAGACACGGUCCAGACUCCUACGGGAGGCAGCAGUAGGGAAUCUUCCGCAAUGGGCGAAAGCCUGACGGAGCAACGCCGCGUGAGUGAUGAAGGUCUUCGGAUCGUAAAACUCUGUUAUUAGGGAAGAACAAAUGUGUAAGUAACUAUGCACGUCUUGACGGUACCUAAUCAGAAAGCCACGGCUAACUACGU